This 301-nucleotide ribosomal RNA is filed under the name uncultured bacterium. RNAcentral describes it as "partial 16S ribosomal RNA". It matches the Rfam family "Bacterial small subunit ribosomal RNA", at positions 509 to 807 of the family's 1533-position model. The record is from RNAcentral.
CAGCAGCCGCGGUAAUGCGAAGGGGGCUAGCGUUGUUCGGAAUUACUGGGCGUAAAGCGCACGUAGGCGGAUUUUUAAGUCAGGGGUGAAAUCCCGAGGCUCAACCUCGGAACUGCCUUUGAUACUGGAGAUCUUGAGUUCGGAAGAGGUUGGUGGAACAGCUAGUGUAGAGGUGAAAUUCGUAGAUAUUAGCUAGAACACCAGUGGCGAAGGCGGCCAACUGGUCCGAUACUGACGCUGAGGUGCGAAAGCGUGGGGAGCAAACGGGAUUAGAUACCCGCGUAGUCCCUGUCUCUUAUAC